This 674-nucleotide unclassified non-coding RNA is filed under the name Hevea brasiliensis (rubber tree). The record is from RNAcentral. Lineage: Eukaryota; Viridiplantae; Streptophyta; Magnoliopsida; Malpighiales; Euphorbiaceae.
CGAUAAUGCUCUCAUAGAUCGUAUUGUGAAGAAGUUCCAAAGCAUAAGAGUAAAGAAGGAGGCCUGGAAAAACUCAAGAAGCAAGGCAUUGUUGCUGCUACAUAGUACACGGGUCAUGCAAACACAACACAGACCAGUGUAACUUGCUGCCAGGAGAAACCAAACAGGUCAAAGAAGAAACACAGUACACGGGCCAUGUAACACGACCUGUGUAACCUGUGGAGACCCAUGUAAGAUUCUUCCUGGCAAAGCUCGAAGAGUUCCUAGAAGAACAACAGAACACAGGCUGUGUAAUUGGACCCAUGUGAAUAUCUGAGACCCGUGUAAUCUUCUAACCAAAUAUGUGAUGCAGCCUUCAAGUUCCAAUAAGUUACACAGCCCUGGGCCGUGUAGUAACACAUGGGCCAUAUAUCAACUAAUAGCCAGUUUCUUGAUUAGGUUCCAGCUCUAGUUUUUAUAGGAAGGAGAUGCCUUGGGGACUCUAAAACCUAACCCUUGAACAUUCAAUAUAAAUAGAAGUAGCAGAAAAUAGAGAAGGGAUAUCCUGGCAUUAACAUUUUCACAUACACAUCUUCAUUCACAUACAUCUUCAUUCUCUCCAAGUCGUCUUGAAGAAUAGUGCAUCAACAUCAAGGAGGAGUCCUCAGCCAAAGUUCCACAAGUUUAAAGUUGCA